Molecule: non-coding RNA, 136 nt
Organism: Populus trichocarpa (black cottonwood)
Lineage: Eukaryota; Viridiplantae; Streptophyta; Magnoliopsida; Malpighiales; Salicaceae
Source: Rfam
CAAAGAAGAGCUUGUCAACCUAGCCAAGGAGACUGCCUGAAACCCGUAAUGUGGGUUUCUGCCUACUUUGUCCAGAACAUAUCCUUAGUUGCUAGGACCAGGCAAGCCGUCCUUGGAUAGCCAACAACUCUUGUUU